UUAAUGGAGAGUUUGAUCCUGGCUCAGGACGAACGCUGGCGGCAUGCCUAAUACAUGCAAGUCGAGC
This 67-nucleotide ribosomal RNA is filed under the name Saccharibacillus sp. CPCC 101409. RNAcentral's name for it is "partial 16S ribosomal RNA". It matches the Rfam family "Bacterial small subunit ribosomal RNA", at positions 1 to 67 of the family's 1533-position model. Lineage: Bacteria; Bacillati; Bacillota; Bacilli; Caryophanales; Paenibacillaceae. The record is from RNAcentral.